Molecule: long non-coding RNA, 3974 nt
Organism: Ruditapes philippinarum (Manila clam)
Lineage: Eukaryota; Metazoa; Mollusca; Bivalvia; Venerida; Veneridae
Exons: 4
Source: RefSeq, a predicted model, not a curated record
CCCUUCCGCCGUUACUAUAUAAUUCAAUGUAAAUUUCUAAUGACGGAAAUCCGCCGUUAGAAAUACCCGCUCCGCCAUAAGCUAUCCACUCCGCCGUAAUACUUGUCCGGCCGAAAGAUUCCGCCGUUAUAAUGUAACUCAAAUGAACUGACGGAAAUCCGCCGUUAAAAAAACCCGCCCCGGCGUUAAAAAAUUCCUGCCCCGCCGUCAACUAUCCACUCCGCCGUUAUAACUGUCCAAACGCUACUCAGUCAUUAACUCGACUAACUCAACCUAUUGAUCAACCGUCUAAAUUUUCCGAUAUUAGAGCUACCGUCGCUACAUCGAAAUUACAACGCCGAAUCGCUCGUAUGAUUUAUGCUACUCUGACGGAAAUCAGUUCUAUUCUGUUCUAGUAUGUAUACUGACGGGUUUUUACACCGCAAAACAGUUCGGCCGAAUUGUUACUAAAAAUAGUCAUUUUCCGCUGAAAUGAAGAGGUUUGAACUGAAUUGAUCAGAAACCCGCCGUAAGCUUCAUUAAUAUUCAUAUCCAAAGAGCGGGAUUUGUGAAAUGUUUUCAUUGGUCGAUGCAAAUAUAACUCCCCCUCUUCCAGCAAUCGUAACAACUCGGCAAUCUCCGUCAAGUUCGGAGAUCUUGAAGUCGCCCGAGGUGUUCCGAGUGCAGUACAACAACAACAACCACAAACACAAGAACCAUUACGAAAUUUUGGAAAUAUAGAUUGUAUGUUAGAUUUAUUUGACAAGACUAUAUUUGUCAGAUCUCAAUAAGUGAAUAAGAUUUGUUUGUUCAUCCUGUCAGAAAUUUCUUUUUAAAGACCAACAAUGGGGCCAGGAAUCAUAUUUGUUUGGAAGCAUAAGCAAAUGUCAUGAGUCUUAAAACUUCUAGAAUUUAGAGGAGUUUUUGCUGACAGUCAUAGAGUGUGCACAACUUUGAGAGAUUGGGGAAGUGUUUCUGCUUUUUCAUGUUUUGGUAGUUUUGUGGAAAAUAUCACAUACUGGUCACGUUAUAAUCUACAAGAACACAAGAGACAUAGACAGUUUCAGAGUUUUUACUUUGAAAUCAUAGAGCUGCAUAUGAUAGAAGAGAUAUUGGCUAUAAUUAUGUAUGUUUUAAAAAAUUGGAAAAAGAGUGAUUCUAAAAUUACAUGAAAAAUGCAGACUUUGCUUGAGUCUAUCUAAGGAAAAGUGCAACAUCCCCUACACCGCCUAACACGGGCUAUAGUGGAACUCAGUUCAAAUCAAUGAUCCUGAAGGUCCAGAAAAAUAUAACAAUAUUGAAGUGAAGUUUGCGGCAACAUUUUACAGCUUGGAAUGUGACACCUGCUAUUUUGAAGUAUAAAACUGGAAAAGGACACUAUCUCUCCGGAGCACUGACAACAACUUUCAGCUUGACAAAGUUUAAGUUGAUUUAAUAACUUGUGAAAAAUGUGACUGUCAGCCUUUAACUGACUGUAUUAAAUCUGAAGUAUUAACUGCUACAUGCCCAAGCCUAUCUAGCAAAGAAUACAUGCACUUUUACCAGUUUGGAUAAAGCCAUUUUCAUGUAAAACAUUGUUGGAUUUGUAUUUAAGUUUAUUCUACCAUACUUUUAAAGUCAUUCUUAUUAUUGCUGACCAGUUAAGUUGCCUACCAGGAAGGGCAUUCAAUGUUACACACUAUAUUAGAACCAAAGUUCAGAUACUGGUAAUUUAAUAUAUUAAUAUAUAACCAAAUUGCAACAGACAUAUUGAAUAAAGAAAAGUGACAACUGUUUCUUUAACCGCAUCAAAUCAAAGAAAAACAUUUUAAAACUUGUCUUCAAAUAUAGUAAGCAUGUUUAUAUCAAUGAUUCUUGGGUGAAAAUGGGGUAUCUUUGGUAAAAGCUAGAUAACCAGAUUCAAUCAAGGAAAAACCUUCUUUAUAUAUUUAUUUGAUCUUCUUUAAACUUUGUUAGAUUUUUGUAUUUAUGAUAUAUUGGUUAGGUAUAAAUAUUGCUUAUAGCUAAAUGUAAAGAAAGCUAUACAGGGAUUUUUUCCAGGAAUUUGGGAACAUGACCAAUACCCAUGGAAUUAGGAAUUCCAGCGGUGUUUUGUUAAAAAAUUGAGAAAAAAUGCAUGACUGAAAUUUUACAGUGAUUAAAUGGAUACAAACAUUUACUGUCUAAGAUGGCAUCUUCAAAUAUUUAAGGAUUAUUACAGUGGAGAAGCCCUUAUUUUUUUUUUAAAAGAUUUUAGAAUUUCUAUUCAAUUUUUUUAUUUUGUAACUUUCAAUUGGGAAUUUUUUCCUGUGGAUUGGGAAAAUAAUAUACUAUUUUCAAUUGGGAAUAUGACCCAAUAACGGCUAUAAAAUAAGCCAAAAAAUCCCUGGUGACAGUUUUCUUUAAAAUUUAAAACUGUUUUUGAAUUUGUGUCUUAUUUAUAUUUUGGCAAAUUUAGAUUUUGGUAACAUUUGGGAAAAAUUAGGUCACAAUGUCAAAUCUAUGAAAACAAUGCAUUCUUUCUGGGAUCACUGUUUUGUUUGGAUUUUGUCAAAUUUUUAAGAAGAAAUACAUUUUUAAAUAAAUAAACAAUUAAACUUGAAUUUUGGUUAAAUUGUCAUAAUUAUCUUUUUCUUGUGUGGAUUUGAUUUAAACUUGGACUAAGCAAGCUUAGCUUUCAAAAAACAUUGAGUAAUUUAGAAGUGACCUUGACCUUUUAUUGACAAUCAAGAUCCGAUUUAUGAAGUUCUUUUUUUCCCUGUAACUGGCUAUAAUUCUGUGAUUUAUAUUCAUAUUUAGACAUAACAUCUUUUAGGUCAGGACCUUCAUCUAUACCAAACCCAUAAUAAACUUUUAGUAGUGGCAUGGCCGAGUGGUUAACGCAUUGGACUAGUAAUCUAAUUAUCGCUAGCUGAAUGGGUUCACACCCUGACAGGGGCAAGUCUUUGUUUCCUUGAGCAAGAAACUUUACACUCACUGCUCAGUACUGGAUAGUUCCAGGAAUGGAUUCGAAAGUGUAUUUGUAAGCUAAUAGCUUCCUACACAAUCGAACUAAAAUAAAUUCUGUAUAAACCAAAACUUGAAGGUCAAAUUAUUGAAUUUCACUGUGUAUUUCUAUGAUUUACUGUACAUGGCAAUCAAUGCAUUAUCUGCAUACUUUGACAAAACAACCUUUUGGACAAGACCUUCAAAAAGGUUGAACUGAACUUAACCUAUAAUUGACCUUCACCGUCAAGGUCAAAUAAUUGAAUUUGUAUAAUAUUUUCUUAACUGUCAUUUAUUUAUGGAAAAGAAUUUCGGGCAUAUUAUGUUAUAUCCCCUGGCGUCCGUCCGUCUGUCCGUUAGCAAUUUGGUUUCCGGAGCAUAACUUAAGUUCCAUUUGGCCCACAAUAUUCAAACUUCAUAGGAUGAUUGUCCAUAUUGGGUAGAAGACCCCUAGUAAUUUUUAGGGUCACAAGGUCAAAGGUCAUGGUCUUUAUUACUUUAAAACUGAAAACAAUUAUUAGGGCAUAACUUAAGUUCCAUUUGGACCACAAUAUUCAAACUUCAUAGGAGGAUUGUUAUUUGAUUAUUUAAUUAAUUAUUUUAUUCCAAUGUCUAACAAUGCUUUCAUCUUUACUAAAUAAAAAUCAUUUUCGGGCAUAUAAUGCUCCGCCUAGCGGUGAUCUUGUUUUUAAUUUUCUAGUUAGAGGUUUGUUUAAACAGUUUGUUUGCUUUUAGAAAAGUAAAGAAAAAAGCUUAGCAUUGCAACCACCUGGCAAUGGCUCAUGUUAAAGUUUGAUACACUGUUUAUUUGCAUUUUCUUUUUUACAUUUUUUAACUGUUUGUUUAAAACUGUUUAUUUGUUUGAAUUUAGAAAAAGUUAGAGUGUUGCCUCACAUUGCACUGGCUUCUGUUUUGCAUAUUAUUAAAUUUUAAUUGUUAUUUGAAAAUUAAAAAUAUUUUUAGCGAUGCAACAUUAUAUUUCUUUGUGAUCAAUAAUUCUCUGUGAUAAAUACAUAUUUAUGCAAGCUAAA